GAUCAUGGCUCAGGAUGAACGCUGGCGGCGUGCCUAACACAUGCAAGUCGAGCGGAGAUAAGUGAAGCCUAGCGAUUCUUAUCUUAGCGGCGGAUGGGUGAGUAACACGUGGGUAACCUGCCCUGUACUGGGGAAUAACAGCUGGAAACGGCUGUUAAUGCCGCAUAUGCGCACGGAGCCGCAUGGCUUUGGGCGGAAAGAUUUAUCGGUACAGGAUGGGCCCGCGCCGGAUUAACUAGUUGGCGGGGUAACGGCCCACCAAGGUGAUGAUCCGUAGCCGACCUGAGAGGGUGACCGGCCACAUUGGGACUGAGACACGGCCCAAACUCCUACGGGAGGCAGCAGUGGGGGAUAUUGCACAAUGGGGGAAACCCUGAUGCAGCGACGCCGCGUGAAGGAUGACGUAUUUCGGUAUGUAAACUUCUAUCAGCGGGGAAGAAGAUGACGGUACCCGACUAAGAAGCCCCGGCUAACUACGUGCCAGCAGCUGC
Molecule: ribosomal RNA, 491 nt
Filed under: uncultured bacterium
Lineage: Bacteria
Description: bacterial SSU rRNA
Rfam family: Bacterial small subunit ribosomal RNA
Source: RNAcentral